Molecule: ribosomal RNA, 437 nt
Filed under: uncultured bacterium
Lineage: Bacteria
Description: bacterial SSU rRNA
Rfam family: Bacterial small subunit ribosomal RNA
Source: RNAcentral
CAGGCCUAACACAUGCAAGUCGAACGGGCACCUUCGGGUGUCAGUGGCAGACGGGUGAGUAACACGUGGGAACGUGCCCUUCGGUUCGGAAUAACUCAGGGAAACUUGAGCUAAUACCGGAUACGCCCUUACGGGGAAAGGUUUACUGCCGAAGGAUCGGCCCGCGUCUGAUUAGCUAGUUGGUGAGGUAACGGCUCACCAAGGCGACGAUCAGUAGCUGGUCUGAGAGGAUGAUCAGCCACACUGGGACUGAGACACGGCCCAGACUCCUACGGGAGGCAGCAGUGGGGAAUAUUGGACAAUGGGCGAAAGCCUGAUCCAGCCAUGCCGCGUGAGUGAUGAAGGCCUUAGGGUUGUAAAGCUCUUUCGACGGGGACGAUAAUGACGGUACCCGUAGAAGAAGCCCCGGCUAACUUCGUGCCAGCAGCCGCGGUAAU